Molecule: long non-coding RNA, 500 nt
Organism: Spinacia oleracea (spinach)
Lineage: Eukaryota; Viridiplantae; Streptophyta; Magnoliopsida; Caryophyllales; Amaranthaceae
Exons: 4
Source: RefSeq, a predicted model, not a curated record
GUUCAGACAAUCAAGUUAUCGGAUCAGGAUUUUCUUGGAGAAGCUAGCUGUGUGUUAUCAGAGCAAACUUCAAACAUCAGUUUCAGCCUUAGAAAAUAUGCACAGAGACAAGACUGGCAUCAGCUUUGUUAAGCAACACCAUGGUCGUGAAAAGCUUCAAAUGGAAAUCCUAGAAGUCCAGAAUCUUUGCACUAUAUUGACCCCUCUGGCAGAUUGAACGCAUAUCAGCAAGUCUAUACUACAGGAAUGCGCCUUAUGCUAGUGAGGAAAUUGAUGUGGUUCGUGAGCAAUGGGCUAAGUUUUUUACCAGAAAGUAUUUAUUAUUGGCCUGAGCGCGUUUGAUCGAGUUGGCUUAGAUGUUAUAGAACAAUAUUUUGUAUUAAAAUGUAUGCGUACGUUGAAAUUGGAACGUACAUAUAUUUAAAUGUAUUAGUACGUGCACUUUGGUUUUGGAAUAUAUACAAAACUACAGUUAUUGUUUAUAUAUUUGUUAUACAGGU